This is a non-coding RNA of Macaca mulatta (Rhesus monkey), 1398 nucleotides long. Lineage: Eukaryota; Metazoa; Chordata; Mammalia; Primates; Cercopithecidae. The record is from RefSeq and is a predicted model, not a curated record.
GUGUCUCUGUUCCAGGCCCCACGUGUGUGCUGAGCAGGAGCUGACCCUGGUGGGCCGCCGCCAGCCGUGUGUGCAGGCCUUCAGCCACACGGUGCCAGUGUGGAAGGCUGGCUGUGGGUGGCAGGCGUGGUGCGUGGGCCAUGAGCGGAGAACUGUCUACUACAUGGGCUACAGGCAGGUGUAUACCACGGAGACCCGGACCGUGCUCAGGUGCUGCCGAGGGUGGACGCAGCAGCCCGGCGAGCAGGGCUGCCUCUCGGCUGAAUGCAGUGCCGGCUUCUGUUUUCACGGUGGCCGUUGUGCGCCAGGCUCAGCCCAGCCGUGCCACUGUCCCUCCGGCUUCCAGGGACCCCGCUGUCAGUAUGGUGAGUGGAGCCCCUGGGGCACCAAGGCCCUGGUCAUGGCCAGCCUGUGGGCGAGGGGCGGAGAUGUGUCGGCCACUGGCUGUCCCCAGCACAGCUGUGUAGGGCACACCCUGAGUGAACGGGCAUUCUUCUGAGGACGUUCUGCAAUCCCUCCACCAGUUCCCUGCAGCCCCUCUGAGGGUGUUGAGAGGAGGGGUGACCCCAAGAGAGCCCCCUCAGUGGAUGGUGCUGGAGCAUAUCAUCUUGGCGCCCACCGCGCCAGCCCUGCUGUUUAUAAAAGGGGACGCUGGCCCCCUGGAAAGGCAGAGGUGUGGCCAGGUCCCAGGGUCUCCAGCUGUGCUGCCACCUUGCCGAACUGUGGUUGUCCUCAGUGUUACAAGAUGGGGGACACCCGGGGGUCCUAGCCAAGGCGACUGGUUGAGUAACCGCAGCACAGCCUAGACAGGAUUCCCUCACAGGCCCCAAAGACCAGGUUGAAGCAGAGCUGGCAGUGGGGAGAUGCUUGCAGGGAGUGGGGAUGGGCUGAAAGCAAGCCAUUGGGUGACGGGAUUUCUGUGAAGAAAAGUGCGCGCCAAUGUGGGGAAAAGCGGCAAAGCCUCGUCCCGAUUCCUUUGGGCCAUGGGCAGCGGGAGUCUUCCUUCCUCUGUGGCUUCCUGCUCUGUCCCGGGUUGCUUCAUCCUAGCCUCACGCAGCCUGAGCCACAGCCGUCCCGAUGGCAUGAAACACUCCCGGUGGCCCUGGGGCUUUGGGGCUGCUUGUGUGGUGGCCACCGGGGCUCCAUGCCAGGCAGAUGCCAGGGCAGAGUGAGAGAUAUGCUCCGGCGCCCAGGCAGACAGCGGGGGAGACUCGAGGAAAUCAGAGGAAUCAGGAGGUCCCCACGUUUGUGAAGGGCACCUCUGCCCAUUCCACGUUCCGCUGGGGGCCGGGCUGAGGAGGGGUUCUCGAGAGGUGCUGGUCUCCCCAGAGUUCGGAGCUGGGUGCCAGCAGCCUGGGGCAUUGGUCAUUGUUGGAGGGUUUAUUGGUGCUGGAGGGU